CAUCCAUCUGCAUUACCUGGCAGCUGAUGAAAUGCUGCAUGUUCAUUAUUUUAUGACAGACUUAAAUUUUAUUUUUCAAAAUUUUGUUUUCAAGAAUUGUACAGUUGAAAGCACUUAAACUUCAGAUUAGGUUUCCUAGAAAUGAAAUUUUCCCCCCUUGGUUCUUUAAGAGGUGAGCCAGAGAUAGCACUAGUGAAAGAAUCUAGGUUUUGUAUUAAAUAGGGAAAAAAUAAAAACUGCUCUUGAUUUUUUUUUUUUUUAACUGGGAUUUAAAAGAUCUCACCAAAUGUUUUCUCUAUUCUGAUAAGGGUGCCAAAGGCUAUGGGAGCAACUUGUCCGGAUUAGAAGGCUGAUUGUUUGCACUCUUGUUUAGCUUUGUUCCUUAAUGUGGACCAGAGUGUCAGGGGGUCUUCUGUGAAAGAAGCUGAGAAGAGCAGAGAUGUGAGGUGGGGCCUGGAGGAAGAAGCAGGCUCUGAGCAGUAGGAAAAACAGAGAAGAUCUGCAGGAUAUUGUCAUCCAAAACUUCAGCACCAUUAGAAGACCGUUGCAAUUAGGUUAUAUGACCAGUCUUGCUUGUUUAACCAGGAGUAUGUUGACUAGUGCUCCUUUGAACUCUUGACUACAGGCACCUUGAGAAAAAAGCAUAAUGCUGGAAAUUAAAGUUCUCCCAUGGGACAAAAUGGCAGAAUGAGCUUUCUUACCUUUCCAGCUCUGUUCUGGAGGGACCACCAAGGUGAGAUGUCAUUUUAAUCUCUGGCCAUAUUAUUUUCUUGGCCUUUCUGCAGAAACUGUCAACAAGGGUGCUAACGACUGCUGUUAUGUAAAGGAAUAGGAAAAUAUGCA
Molecule: long non-coding RNA, 843 nt
Filed under: Microcebus murinus (gray mouse lemur)
Lineage: Eukaryota; Metazoa; Chordata; Mammalia; Primates; Cheirogaleidae
Description: lncRNA (ENSMICG00000048349.1)
Source: RNAcentral